RNAcentral lists this ribosomal RNA (271 nucleotides) under uncultured archaeon. Its description in RNAcentral is "partial 16S ribosomal RNA". It matches the Rfam family "Archaeal small subunit ribosomal RNA", at positions 477 to 747 of the family's 1478-position model. The record is from RNAcentral.
CAGCGCCACAAGUGGCAACCGCGAUUAUUGGGCCUAAAGCGUCCGUAGCCGGUUUGGUAAAUCUUUUGUGAAAUUGUACAGCUCAACUGUACAGCGUGCAAGAGACACUGCCAAACUCGAGACCGGGAGGAGUCAGAAGUAUUCCAGGGGGAGCGGUAAAAUGUUAUAAUCCCUGGAGGACUACCUGUGGCGAAGGCGUCUGACCAGAACGGAUCUGACGGUGAGGGACGAAAGCCAGGGGAGCGAACCGGAUUAGAUACCCGAGUAGUCC